RNAcentral lists this small nuclear RNA (145 nucleotides) under Sorghum bicolor (sorghum). RNAcentral's name for it is "snRNA U1". It matches the Rfam family "U1 spliceosomal RNA". From Rfam's summary of the family: U1 is a small nuclear RNA (snRNA) component of the spliceosome (involved in pre-mRNA splicing). Its 5' end forms complementary base pairs with the 5' splice junction, thus defining the 5' donor site of an intron. The record is from Rfam by way of RNAcentral. Lineage: Eukaryota; Viridiplantae; Streptophyta; Magnoliopsida; Poales; Poaceae.
AUACUUACCUGGAUGGGGUCGAUGGGCGAUCAUGAAGGCCCAUGGCCUUAAUUUGUGGUAGAGGGUGCGCUGGUCUACCAUCUCCCCAAGCGGGAGAGUGGACGUCUUAAUUUGUGGUAGAGGGGCCGCGCGAACGCGGCCCCUG